Molecule: ribosomal RNA, 793 nt
Filed under: uncultured bacterium
Lineage: Bacteria
Description: bacterial SSU rRNA
Rfam family: Bacterial small subunit ribosomal RNA
Source: RNAcentral
UGAGAGUGGCGCACGGGUGCGUAACGCGUAUGCAACCUACCUUUUACAGGGAGAUAGCCCGGGGAAACUCGGAUUAAUACCCCAUAGUAUAAUGAAACUGCAUGGUUUUAUUAUUAAAGCUUAGGCGGUAAAAGAUGGGCAUGCGUCUGAUUAGCUAGAUGGUGAGGUAACGGCUCACCAUGGCGAUGAUCAGUAGGGGUUCUGAGAGGAUGAUCCCCCACACUGGUACUGAGACACGGACCAGACUCCUACGGGAGGCAGCAGUAGGGAAUAUUGGUCAAUGGGCGAGAGCCUGAACCAGCCAUGCCGCGUGCAGGAAGACGGCCUUCUGGGUUGUAAACUGCUUUUCUACGGGAAGAAAAAGCUUAUGCGUAAGCAAUUGACGGUACUGUAGGAAUAAGCACCGGCUAACUCCGUGCCAGCAGCCGCGGUAAUACGGAGGGUGCGAGCGUUGUCCGGAUUUAUUGGGUUUAAAGGGUGCGUAGGCGGCUUAUUAAGUCAGUGGUGAAAUCUUUCGGCUUAACCGAGAAACUGCCAUUGAAACUGAUGAGCUUGAGUUUGAGUGAGGUAGGCGGAAUUUAUGGUGUAGCGGUGAAAUGCAUAGAUACCAUAAAGAACACCGAUAGCGUAGGCAGCUUACUGGCUCGCAACUGACGCUGAGGCACGAAAGCAUGGGUAUCGAACAGGAUUAGAUACCCUGGUAGUCCAUGCUGUAAACGAUGAUUACUCGCUGUUGGUCUUUAGGGAUCAGUGGCCAAGCGAAAGCGUUAAGUAAUCCACCUGGGGAGUACGU